GCAUUCAACAAACUUACCCGAGUUGAUUCUAACUCCCAAUAAUCGCAUAAAUGGUUCCAAUCUUCCGGACUCCGACAAUUGGAUUUCAUCAUUGAUCUAGCCAACCGAGGAUUGGUUUUUCCUCCAUUAUUCUUCCAGUGGGCACUCAACUCACCUCUGGUACGUUUCCAUUGGUAAUGUACAGGUACGGACUCCCAUUUAUGAAAGUUCAUUGGACAUACACCACGCAUUACAAUCCCACACUCAUUUGCAAACUAAGUAGCUGUACGCCCAACAAAUCCUUUCGUACCGCCAGCCAUUGUUAAAGAAAUUUUGGAACCCUCAGGCAAAUUCUCAAAGUCUUUUGUAGCGCUAAGAUUGAGAUUUGGACCACGCCUUUUUGGUGGAUCAACCUGGGUUUGAUUUGAAUCUGUACAUUUUUUUACAAUUAGGGGAGCUCAAAGACUAUUUCAAUAUAAACAAACAAACAUAAUAAUUUUACUUUAAAU
Molecule: long non-coding RNA, 488 nt
Filed under: Helianthus annuus (common sunflower)
Lineage: Eukaryota; Viridiplantae; Streptophyta; Magnoliopsida; Asterales; Asteraceae
Source: RNAcentral